GGCGGGUGUGACUAAAUGACCUCUCUCCCCUUCCUUUUGACUCUCCUGUAUUCUGUCCAUUUUGUCACACGACCCUCUUUCAUCCUCUUUCCUUCCUUUUCAGCCUGGCUGAGUCUUUUUCACCUCUCUCUCUCUCUCUCUCUCUCUCUCGCUCUCUCUCUCUCUCGCUCUCUCUCUCCUCCCCUGCUUCUCUCUCUCUCUCAUCUCCCCUGCUUCUCUCUCCUCCGGAGUGUGGGGAGCGAUAGCCUGGUUGCCAAAGUGACUGCAGGACACAUUAAGGCCUAUAAAAGCCCGGGCCGCGGUCACACUCUUAACCGCGAGUCAGAGGUAGUGUAUAAAAGUGUGUUUAAAUGGGUCUGUGAUUACACAGGGACAGCCGGAGAGAGGUAAGUAGCCAGGGGGAAAGAGAGAGAGAGGUAAGUAGACAGGGGGAAAGGAGAGAGAGAGAGAGGUAAGUAGCCAGGGGGAAAGAGAGAGAGAGAGAGAGGUAAGUAGCCAGGGGGAAAGAGAGAGAGAGAGGUAAGUAGCCAGGGGGAAAGGAGAGAGAGAGAGGUAAGUAGCCAGGUGGAAAGAGAGAGAGAGAGGUAAGUAGCCAGGGGGAAAGAGAGAGAGAGAGGUAAGUAGCGAGGGGGAAAGAGAGAGAGAAAGGUAAGUAGCCAGGGGGAAAAAGAGAGAGAGGUAAGUAGCCAGGGGGAAAAGAGAGAGAGAGCGGUAAGUAGCCAGGGGGAAAAGACACAGAGAGAGAGAGAGGUAAGUAGCCAGGGGGAAAAAGAGAGAGAGAGAGAGGUAAGUAGCCAGGGGGAAAAGAGAGAGAGAA
Oncorhynchus tshawytscha (Chinook salmon) is the source of this 817-nucleotide long non-coding RNA. The record is from Ensembl. NCBI's taxonomy places the organism in Eukaryota, Metazoa, Chordata, Actinopteri, Salmoniformes, Salmonidae.